GACGAACGCUGGCGGCGUGCUUAACACAUGCAAGUCGAACGGAAAGGCCCUGCUUUUGUGGGGUGCUCGAGUGGCGAACGGGUGAGUAACACGUGAGUAACCUGCCCUUGACUUUGGGAUAACUUCAGGAAACUGGGGCUAAUACCGGAUAGGAGCUCCUGCUGCAUGGUGGGGGUUGGAAAGUUUCGGCGGUUGGGGAUGGACUCGCGGCUUAUCAGCUUGUUGGUGGGGUAGUGGCUUACCAAGGCUUUGACGGGUAGCCGGCCUGAGGGGGUGACCGGCCACAUUGGGACUGAGAUACGGCCCAGACUCCUACGGGAGGCAGCAGUGGGGAAUAUUGCACAAUGGGCGGAAGCCUGAUGCAGCAACGCCGCGUGCGGGAUGACGGCCUUCGGGUUGUAAACCGCUUUCGCCUGUGACGAAGCGUGAGUGACGGUAAUGGGUAAAGAAGCACCGGCUAGCUACGUG
Molecule: ribosomal RNA, 468 nt
Filed under: uncultured bacterium
Lineage: Bacteria
Description: partial 16S ribosomal RNA
Rfam family: Bacterial small subunit ribosomal RNA
Source: RNAcentral